Molecule: ribosomal RNA, 705 nt
Filed under: Triticum aestivum (bread wheat)
Lineage: Eukaryota; Viridiplantae; Streptophyta; Magnoliopsida; Poales; Poaceae
Description: partial small subunit ribosomal RNA
Source: RNAcentral
AUGUUAGGGAAUUCUUUGCUAGCUGAGGAAGAACUGGCGCUUGCAAGUAGAUGUGGUUUGUUCUCAUCAAGCAUGCAACAGUCUCACACAUCGACCUGUCCUACUAUCACAUAUGAAGAAGCUCUUAGAAGGGAACUGGAAUAUCGGCGAAGGUUGGAACGUACUCAUCCACAUCUGUUGAUUGCUCUUAAUGAAGCUCCUGCGCUAUCCAGAGAGACCUGUACAGAUUCAACACCUGAUGUGUUGAAGAGAAAGUUAACUCCUGAGAGUAAUAUGCCUUCACCGCAGUCAAGCUUUAAUUUCACCGCCGCAAGAAGCCAGCCAGCAAAUUGGUACCCCCCAAAGAAAAAAGUAAUUGUUCGACAGCCUGCAUCACAGGCUAUGCAGGCUGUUCAAAUACCCAGAACAAAUUCUGUACCUUCCUUUUGGUGCAAAAUAUGCAAGGUGGAUUGUGUCACUGAAUUCAAUUUCGGCGCCCAUAUUGGAGGGAAAAAGCACAAACUUAAGAAGCAACUGAUUCUUGGUAAUAUGAACACUGGAAGACCUGGCACUGGCAGUCAGUUUGCGGGUAACACAAACCGUGGACCAAGUGAGAAUGCAGUUUCUGGAAGUAGAAAUGAUGAACCAAAUGCAGGUAGCAGCAGUAUUGCUGGACCAAGCAGCAGCGUGUCCUCUGGAAGCAGACCCAGCGAAGCAAACCCCUGA